UACGUAGGCAGCAAGCGUUGUUCGGAAUUACUGGGCGUAAAGAGUGUGUAGGCGGUGUUCUAAGUUUGUCGUGAAAUCUCCCGGCUUAACUGGGAGGGUGCGGCGAAAACUGGAAUGCUAGAGGAUGGGAGAGGUAAGCGGAAUUCCUGGUGUAGCGGUGAAAUGCGUAGAUAUCAGGAGGAACACCGAUGGCGAAGGCAGGUCUCUGGGCCACUACUGACGCUGAGAAGCGAAAGCAUGGGGAGCGAACAGG
This 253-nucleotide ribosomal RNA is filed under the name uncultured bacterium. RNAcentral describes it as "partial 16S ribosomal RNA". It matches the Rfam family "Bacterial small subunit ribosomal RNA", at positions 524 to 776 of the family's 1533-position model. The record is from RNAcentral.